UACGUAGGGGGCUAGCGUUGUCCGGAAUCAUUGGGCGUAAAGCGCACGCAGGCGGCGCGGCAAGUGGUCGGUGAAAUCCUCCGGCUCAACUGGAGGGGGUCCGGCCGGACUGCCGUGCUCGAGGUCGCGAGGGGGAAGCGGAAUUCCCGGUGUAGUGGUGGAAUGCGUAGAUAUCGGGAGGAACACCAGUGGCGAAGGCGGCUUCCUGGCGCGAUUCUGACGCUGAGGUGCGAAAGCGUGGGGAGCGAGCCGG
Molecule: ribosomal RNA, 253 nt
Filed under: uncultured bacterium
Lineage: Bacteria
Description: partial 16S ribosomal RNA
Rfam family: Bacterial small subunit ribosomal RNA
Source: RNAcentral